Molecule: long non-coding RNA, 3306 nt
Organism: Mus musculus (house mouse)
Lineage: Eukaryota; Metazoa; Chordata; Mammalia; Rodentia; Muridae
Product: predicted gene, 34853
Exons: 3
Source: RefSeq, a predicted model, not a curated record
CCCUCCCCCCGCCGCCGCCAUGAGUGUUUCUGACGUCCAUGAAGAAUUUCCCUUUCAAAGAUCUGUCUUCUUACAGUCUCUCCAGAAAGCUCCUCUUGACACCAACCUCCCAGUUGUGGAGUUGGAAAGUUGCAGAUUUGGAUCCAGCUUAUCUUGGGCUAACUUUGGUCCUCUUCAUGACCAGCAGUGUUCCUUCAUCUGAUUUACCAUCCUUUUGACCAUCAGCGUUUCAGAAGAGUGGAGAACAGGCCUACGUGAAUGCUCGAACGUCUGAGAACAGGCCUACGUGAAUGCUCGCACGUCUGUGCAAUCCUGCCUGGCUGGUAGCUCCAAUAGUGCUUACACUCUUCAUCUCCUGACGUGAGUUUCCUCCGAUUUUGAACACCUUCUAUGUAGCCUUUAUUCCCUUAAAGAAUUUAUGGGGUGGCCAAGUCAGUCAUUUACACCCCCUUUUCUGUGCCCUGGACUGGUUCACGUAAUGUCUCAGCAUUUCCCCAAGACCUUCUUUCUCCAGCACCACAUAAAGACAAUCAACUUUUUCUAAGGUUCUGCUCUCUCCCUUCCUUCCCAUUGUCCCCAAGCCUGAAAGAUGGGCUCGCCUGUGGCUGAUGUGUGAACAAUUAGAGGAUUGCUUGUGGGUUCACAUCAUUUCUCCCAACAAGUCUCUUUAGGAACAAUAGACUAAGAAAGACGCUUCUAAUGCAUCCCGCCUCUAAAUCACAUCGUCGUCGGUGCUGUGCCAUGCAAAGGCAGUGCUCAGUAUGCACUGUGAAUAAACUCCAUUGCCUCCUGUCUGGGCACACAUACCCUCAAGCAUAACAGAUUCGUUGUUAUAAUUUCAUUACUAGUCUUCAUAGAACUUGCUAUCUUAGCCAAGGCAGUAGUGUACAUGCCUUUAGUUCCAGCACUCAGGAGGCAGAGGCAGGUGGAUUCAGGCUAACCUGGUCUACACAGUGAGUUCCAAGACAGCCAGGGCUACACAGAGACUCACUAUCUUAUCCUAAGUCCCUGGGCUCUGAAGAUAUAUUUCCUAGUAUGUGCUCCCUGGCUUCCUCACCGUAGACAACACAGGAAUCCAGGGGCUAGGGACAGUUUGGGCCUUCUCUGUGUGAAAACACAUUUCGCUUUCAAUACCAAAGUGAAGGGUCACUCAGAGCUUGGCUGAUGACACAAGCCAUUCGAUACUGUAAGGCUCUCCUUGGAUGCUGCCUGCCUUGUGUCAGAAGGCUACUCAGAAACAAGUUUGAUUGACUGUGACUCAUUGGAAGGAAUGUCGGGUGCUGGCAUUGUGCCGCUGAGCAGGGAGUCUUAGCCAAUUAGGGUUGCUGGCUCAGAUGGGAGUCAGGGAGGAAAAUGGACAUCCGUGGGAAACCUGACCAAGCAAGUGUGCAGAAGGCCACGGUACUCCUUGCCACCCUCCUGGUCACUUUCUGUGUCGCUUUCAAGAUUCCGAAGAUGAAGAAGCAACACUACUUCCCCUUAACAAAGAUUGAAAUCAGGGUUGAGAGCUACAUGCUCCGUUAAUGAUGGCUUCGGGAAUUUGUUUGUUUGCUUGUUCUUUAUUUACUAUGACAAGAAGUAGUGCCCAACGAUAUACAGGUACAACAAGUUCUGUAUUUACAGAGUCAUGGCAUUUCAUGAGGUGCCUAAAGAUUGGGCUCUUUCAUGAAGAGCAAUGUUAAGGAGCAGAAGAUGCUUAAAUACAGGCUUUUGUAGCUUUGUGUUCCUAUCAGCAGAGCCCUGGUUGCAUCAGUGGAAGGACAGUGUAAACCAGCCUAUGUAAGACAUAAGAGGCUUUCCGAUGGUGGCGCAUGCUUUUCCAGUGUCCCAAGAAUGCAAUCCUUCAGCAGCGGUUUUAAAAGCCUCCCGACCUGCAUCGUUAGAACAAAGUUUGCAUGUGGAGGAUAAAGCCUUGUAAUCAUUUAAAUGAACACACACACACACACACACACACACACACACACACACACAAUCACACUGGUAGCUGCUGAGAUGGCUCUGUAGUUAAAGCACUUGCAGAGGACUGGAGUUCAGUUUCCAGCAUCCAUGUUGCGCAGCUCACAACUGCCUCCUAGUUACUCCAGCUCAAAGAGAUCUGAUGCAUUUUUCCUGCUUCCAUGGGCAUCUGCACACAUGUGGGAACACACACACACACACACACACACACACACACACACACACACGCACACGCACACGCACACGCACACGCACGCGCACGCACUUAAAAAUAAAAAUAGAAUCUUGUUUUAAACUUUAACCUACAAAGCCAAACCCAGAUUCACAGUAUCUACUCCUUAUUCUGUGAAUAACAGAGUAUGUGAUUUUCCCAGCAGCAUUCCCAGAGAACCCACCGGCAAGGCAGACCUCCCCCUUGAAAUACCCUACAAGUUCCCACUCCUGUGUUUUCCUUUCCCCUCAUGAAAGCAACUGGAACUCUCCUAAGUAGAGGGUGUCUCAGGUCUCCAUAGUGCCUGUCGGUCGGUGUCUGGCAUCACUGGAAUGAGCUGAUAGAUUACUGCAGCUGUGAGAUGAUUAAGAUAUUGCCUUCGGCAGAGGUAAAUAAUGUUGCUUCUCUGGUAUCCCCCAAACCAAGGACACAAUUGGAGAGAGAAAGUCAGGAAGUGAAGUUUAUGGCCAAGAAGGCAACCCACAUUCAAUGUGACUGACAGCAGAAGCUGGAAGGAGGAGUGUGCGCUUGUUCCUUGGAGAGAGUAGUGAAUAAAAAUGACAAGAACUCCGACAGGAACUUGGAAGGUCAGACAAAUGGGUGUAAAUCCUAGGUAAGCACAGGGGAAAGUUGGCAGCCGGUUAACAAGGCCAUCUUACAAUUGAGAAGAGGCAGGAACGUGGAGGCAGGAAUGAUGGAUAUUCAUUCAAAGGCCAGGACACUCUCCAAAGGCCAAAUCAAGGUUUCUGCUCCCUGAGUAGACUGCAGACUCCAACCCAGCACUUCUCAGCCUUCCUAAUGCUGUCCCUCUUUAACACAGCUCCUCAUGCUGUGGUGACCCCCACCCAUACAAUUACGUUGUUGUUACUUCACAAAUGUAAUUUUGCUACUGUUAUGAAUCAUAAUGUAAACAUCUGACAUGCGGGAUAUCUGAUAGAUGACCCUGAAGGGGUCACAACCCACUUGUUGAGAGCCUUUGGUCUAACCCCAGCUUCUCACACUGAGGCUGCUUUAUCAGUGGGCUUUCUGUGCUCUGGCAUGCUGGCCCUGAAGAACACUGGAGGCUGAAGUUCUAGGGAAGAACUGACCAAGAAACGUGGGCAGAGCGAGAUAGAGAAUUACAUCACAAUGCUAAUUCA